This is a long non-coding RNA of Triticum dicoccoides, 3158 nucleotides long. RefSeq lists it as uncharacterized. Lineage: Eukaryota; Viridiplantae; Streptophyta; Magnoliopsida; Poales; Poaceae. The transcript has 5 exons. The record is from RefSeq and is a predicted model, not a curated record.
UGCAUCUCCCAGAUGCAGAGGCCGGGGGUCAAUCCUCCUUUUCUUAAAAAAAAGUAUGUGGUAGUCCAUUUAAAAUCUCUAAAAAGACUUAUAUUUAAGAACGAAUGGAGUAUAUGUGAAUCCUUAGCAGUAAACACUUGAAAUCCAUCCAAAAUCAAAUAAUGAAUAUUUUUACCUUAAAAUUUUCUUUUAAGAUUCCUAUAUCCAAAUACGUUGAUGAAGAGGUAUCAAUAUCAGUCCCAUUCACAUUUUAUCUACACGCAAAAAGUUACUAAACGAUUUAACCUCUCAUGGGACACUUUACAAACCUCACAUCACUUUUCCUCAAUAUAUAGCUCUGUACAAGAUGCACAUGCUAUUUCCAGUAGGGCAAUAACCACAUAAGGUAGAGCUCGAGCACAAAUGGACCCGUUAUCUGGGCGGUUCGUUAUGGCAUCGGGAUACGACGGGAUCCACUCCAUUGGCCAUGUCACGUGCGCCGUGAACCCUGGACGGUGGGCCAUGUUAGUGACGGAGCUAGAACGCCGUGGACGGAUCAAAGCAGAGCCGUGGCACAUGACGUUAUGUCCUUCCCGAUCCAUCGCCCAGGAAACUUCCUUUCUGGUUACCGGGACAGGCACUGAGUAAAUGCAGGGAUGGUGAGCUCGCUAGGGUUGUCUCCUACCUCCGCUGCCUGGAUUAGUCACUUGCGGAAGCGGCGGAGCUCAUCGGCGAUUCUCGUGCGCGAUCAGGGCCGAUCGGAACGGCCAAAAAUUGAGUUCCUUAUGCAGGUGAUUAAGAGGACCACCGUGCUGGAAGAGGUGAACGGCAGCGAUAUUCUGAUGCAGCCGCGAUACUACCCAGUGUCGCGCCUAUGGUUGAGCUGGGUGCGAAUGGCCAGAUCUGUACCCGCUGAAGGGGCGGCGGGUGGAGGCCGAGAAGGGUCAGAGCACUAUUAGACAGAUCAACCCUAUAGCUCUUGGGUGGAAAAGAAGAGUGAGGAUAGCUACUGCUGUGUCGGGAAGGACGCCAUGUCCUAACCAGACUACUGCUCUGGAGAAGGCUAUCCCUGGUCUGCCAAUAAUCCUGGGGACAAUGGCAUAGUGCCAACUUUGGGUAGAAGCUUUGAUUAUGUUAUUUGAAGCCUACGACUUCUACAACUUGUAUUCGUGGGAGAAACGAUUUGGCAUUAUAUACGAAAAAGGACAGGGGGAGGCCGGGGUUGAGAACACUCAGUCGUGCCGUUGAGAAUGCCCUGCUCUCAUCAGGUUGUUGAGAUCCAAGGUCAAUGGUUGGUACAUAGCAGAACACCGUGAGGAGCACAACCACUCCUCGUCUCCUAUGUUUGGACAAAGAAUACACUGACCAUCGCCACAAGCACAUUGAUUUAUACAUUUGAGACCUGGUAAAAUAGCAUCAUGGUAAGUUUCUUUGGAUCCAUGGAGAAUGUGCCAUUCACAGAAAGAGCCAUAAGGAACUUGUGUGGGAAAAUUAGCCGUGAUCAGGCCGAGGAUGAUUUGAGGAAGACUAUGGAAGUGUUUGCGGAGCUUGGUUCAAAGGAUCAGCACUUCACAUAUAGCGCGGAAGCUGACAAAGAGGGGAGGAUCAGCAGUCUGAUGUGGGCAAAUGGAAUAGCCAAUUGCAGUACACAUUCUUUGGUGAUGUCAUAACCUUCGAUACGACCUACAGGACAAACAUGUAUAAUAUUCCCUUUGGCUUGUUUGUCGGCAUGAACAACCAUUUUCAGAGCAUCGUAGCAUCGGUUUUGGUUCGUGAUGAGAAGGUUGAAAGCUUUUUGGGUUUCAAGUGAAUUUCUGAGGAGCUUGCAGCACAUUGUUGGGCGGGCUGGGCAGGCCAAACUGAGAUUGCCUCGUCCCGUGGGUUGGCUGUAAUAGGAGCAGGUGCUGCAAAGCUGGGCGGGCCAUGACCGAUGUAGCCUCUCUGAAGCUCCGCUGGUGUAUCUAUGCUUAAAGUGGUACAUUAACUUGUGUGGUUCUGUUUUACAGGGGAGACCUGUAAUGAGAACUAACUUGGCCAUAGAGAGACAUGCUGGGAAGAUAUAUACAAGAGCAAUGUUCGAGCAAUUUGGACAUAUUCUACAUGAGUGCGAUGCUUACGAGGUUGAGGAGAUCAAGAAAGGGAAGCUGUACGCUACCAUGCACACUGAAGCAGAAAGGAGAGAGAAAUGGUGUGGGGUCUCAUAUAAAGUGUGCUCAGUGGAGGAGAGGAGUGUGAGUGUAGUCAAUUCGCUCACAUGGAAGUACUCUACAGUCAUGUGCUGAAGGUAUGUAAUCAUGAGGUACUGGACUUCAUCCGCAUUAAGGAAAUUCCGCAGAAGCACAUAGUGAAGAGAGGCCCACGUCAUCUUACGCACUACCAGAAAGAUCAUGCCCACAGAAAUCCUUUUAGCUAUGGACAUUUCAAUAUGUAUAUGCAUGCCAUGGAGCCCUGUCCGUUUGGGUGACACAAGUGUUGAGGCUUAUGACCGUCUGAUUUCUCUUUUCAAGAACUGCAUGGUGGAAAUGCAACCUUUUGUGGAGAUUAGGAAUGGGCUUGGACUGGAAGACAGUAUUCUGAAAACGGUGAUGUUGUGAAUCAAAUUCAGACUGAAGGGGCACUUGUCAUUGCUGGGAACAGAGGAUAAAAUAGCCUUGGCAACGAUGAUGUUAAUUCAACAAAUGAGUCUGGGAAUAGAUUGGCAGGACUUUUGCCACCGACAAAGAGGAAGGAGAUGGGCAGGCCUGCGACCAGCAGUAGGAAGUGCCUUAUGAAGGGUUGAGGAAGAGGACCAUGUUUUGCACUACUUGCCGGCGACAGGGAAACAAAAAGACUACGUACCCAAACCGCGGAGAUGUGCCAUAGCAGGCUAGAAGACCGCCCGAUGCAAGAACUGUGGAGUCGAAGGCCACCGGUAGAACAAUUGCAACAAAGCAGCGGAGCUAUGUCUGAAAGAGAGUUGACUGAAAAAGUAGGGAUGUACCUGGGACAAUACCUGCAUGGUUAGGAUAAAUGGUUUAUGUGUAUGACAAUUUGCAGAUAAUGCAGACUGUUUGUUGUAGCUUGUGUCCUCAUGCUGAAGCUGCAAAUUUCCUUUGCGUGUGUUGAUACAAGUGUGUCUGAAUGUAUUUCUUUGAUACUUCCUGAGUGGAACUAGUCUGAAUAAAUAGAUUGUGGUCCGA